RNAcentral lists this ribosomal RNA (82 nucleotides) under Eimeria kongi. RNAcentral's name for it is "small subunit ribosomal RNA". Lineage: Eukaryota; Apicomplexa; Conoidasida; Eucoccidiorida; Eimeriidae. The record is from RNAcentral.
GACAAAGUCCCAGCAGUAGCGGUCAAACUAUAGAAGAGCCGAGUGUUAUCCAUCCAUACCAGGCGUAAAAAGCGUUCGUUCU